Molecule: RNase P RNA, 346 nt
Filed under: Lachnospiraceae bacterium
Lineage: Bacteria; Bacillati; Bacillota; Clostridia; Lachnospirales; Lachnospiraceae
Description: RNase P RNA component class A
Rfam family: Bacterial RNase P class A
About the family: Ribonuclease P (RNase P) is a ubiquitous endoribonuclease, found in archaea, bacteria and eukarya as well as chloroplasts and mitochondria. Its best characterised activity is the generation of mature 5'-ends of tRNAs by cleaving the 5'-leader elements of precursor-tRNAs. Cellular RNase Ps are ribonucleoproteins.
Source: RNAcentral
CAGGCAGGACAUACGGCCGCGGCCGACAAGACGAAAGGUGUCGGGCGAGGAAAGUCCGGGCUUCACAGGGCAGGAUGCCGGAUAACGUCCGGUAGGGGUAACCCUCAGGAAAGCGCAGCAGAAAUGAUACCGCCGCUUAUGCGGUAAGGGUGAAAUGGCAGUGUAAGAGACUACCGCCGUCACGGUAACGGGACGGGCAUAUGCAAGCCCCAUCCGAAGCAAGACCGAGAAGAAGCGAUAUGGCGGCCCGUCAUGCUUCAGGUAGGUCGCUUGAGCCGUCCGGCAACGGGCGGUCUAGACAGAUGGCCGUACACGACAGAACCCGGCUUACCGUUCUGCCUGUAGA